ACUCCGGUCCCCUCAAACCUGUCCGUGGCUGGCAGCCCUGUGAUACCUCGCCACAUUCUGCAACAGAAUCCGAGAUAGAGGUAGAAGUGGGGGAGUACGUCGUGGCUGUCAGGGCAGCUUUCUGUAAAAUGCUGCCUGGAGGAGCAUGUGAUUCCAGACCCUCCUCUCUGCAACGAAAGUGAGGUUGACACCUGCAGGCCUGGGGCCUCCUGGCCCACUGAGCAGAACACACAGAAGCUGGGCCCACCCCUGCCCUCCCCACAAAGGGUCACGGGAGCCACCGCCUGACUUUGAAGCCCACUGACUUGCGGCUGACAAGAGAAAAGACAGGGUUUCAUUCUUGUUGCUCAGGCUGGCGUGCAAUGGCGUGAUCUCGGCUCACUGCAACCUCUGCCUCCCAGGUUCAAGAGAUUCUCCUGUCUCAGCCUCCGGAGUAGCUGGGAUUACAGAUGUGUCUUAGGUAACAGAGCAUGGGACAGAGCCACUGCAGCCAUGCCCAGGGAGGGCCGGGGUGAGUAAGCAUUGUGAGGUUUUGGGCAGAACGUGGCUGCACUGUGCACGCGGUGAGGGAUCGAAGGGGGCCCCCAAAGACACUCGAAGAACAGUGGGGGCCCUGAAAAGUGCCAAUGCUGAGCCCAGACAGAUGGAAGACCUUGGACAAAUUCCCCGACACCCCUGAGCCUCGAUUUCCUCAUCUGAAAAGUGGGGUGGUGAUGACAGCACAUCUCAGAGGGCUGGGAGGACGAAGCCACCAAGUGACAGCUGCGAUGGAUCCACAGGGGCAGCAGCCGAGCAACCCGAGAUCUGCAGAGCCAUGGUGGGCCCAGCCCCAUCCUGCCCCCCAUGCAGCCAGUGAGAAGCCCUGCUGCUGGAGGGGAUGGAGCUACGGGGACCGAUCAAUUACACCACAGUGUGAGGUCUCUGUGCCUUCCA
RNAcentral lists this long non-coding RNA (933 nucleotides) under Homo sapiens (human). RNAcentral describes it as "long intergenic non-protein coding RNA 2975". Lineage: Eukaryota; Metazoa; Chordata; Mammalia; Primates; Hominidae. The record is from RNAcentral.